UUUGAGGAUUUGAUCCUGGUCCAGGACGAACGCUAGCGGCGUGCCUUAGGCAUGCAAGUGGGUCGGUCCGCAGGACCGAACUGUCAACUGUUAACAAAUUAACAAAUUGACUAAUUAAGAAUAUGAUAAGUUGUGAGAACUUUCAGGUUUCUGGAGUUUCAGGUAUAUAAAGACAGCAAAUCUUUUUACAAGAAAUGCAUAUUUAUAACAAAAAGUUUUACUAGAAACUAUUGGGAACUUAAAGACCAGCUUUUAAGAGCAGCACUUUCGGUUUGCCUUAAUAUCGCUGAAGGUUCAGCAAAGUAUUCUGACAGGGACUUCAAAAGAUUUUUAGAGAAUUCUUUGGGGUCAAUCAAUGAAUGUUUAGCCUGUCUGGAUAUUGCUAACGACAAUAAGCAAAUAUCAAAUAAGAACUUCGAGGAAUUAAAAUCUAAUGCUGAAUCCAUAGCAAAGCAACUUGGUGGUUUAGCUAAAAAACUUCGAAAUUCUUCUUAAUAGUUAAGUUGUUAAAUGUUAAUUUGUUGUAGGUUCUGUCCUGUGGACAGACGCGAACGGCUGAGUAACACGUAGGAACCUACCCAUUGGUUGGGAAUAGUCCACCGAAAGGUGGGGUAAUACCGAAUAAGUCCCGAGAGCAAUCGAGGGAGAAAGGGCAUAACUGCCCGCCGAUGGAGGGGCCUGCGGCCUAUCAGCUAGUUGGUGGGGUAACGGCCUACCAAGGCUACGACGGGUAGGGGGCGUGAGAGCGUGAUCCCCCAGAAUGGCACUGAGAUACGGGCCAUACACCUACGG
RNAcentral lists this ribosomal RNA (792 nucleotides) under Candidatus Woesebacteria bacterium RIFCSPHIGHO2_01_FULL_38_9. RNAcentral describes it as "bacterial SSU rRNA". It matches the Rfam family "Bacterial small subunit ribosomal RNA", at positions 4 to 344 of the family's 1533-position model. The record is from RNAcentral. Lineage: Bacteria; Candidatus Woeseibacteriota.